ACAAGCGGUGGAGUAUGUGGUUUAAUUCGAUGCAACGCGAAGAACCUUACCUGGUCUUGACAUCCCGGAGACCCUUAGGAAACUAGGGGGUGCUUCCAUCUGGAAGAAUCUGGAGACAGGUGCUGCAUGGCUGUCGUCAGCUCGUGUCGUGAGAUGUUGGGUUAAGUCCCGCAACGAGCGCAACCCUUGCCUUUAGUUGCCAGCAGUUCGGCUGGGCACUCUAAAGGGACUGCCGGUGUUAAACCGGAGGAAGGUGGGGAUGACGUCAAGUCCUCAUGGCCUUUAUGACCAGGGCUACACACGUACUACAAUGGCCGAUACAAAGGGCAGCGACACUGCGAGGUGAAGCCAAUCCCGUAAAAUCGGUCUCAGUCCGGAUUGGAGUCUGCAACUCGACUCCAUGAGGUUGGAAUCGCUAGUAAUCGUGGAUCAGCAUGCCACGGUGAAUACGUUCCCGGGCCUU
This 463-nucleotide ribosomal RNA is filed under the name uncultured Desulfobulbus sp. RNAcentral describes it as "bacterial SSU rRNA". It matches the Rfam family "Bacterial small subunit ribosomal RNA", at positions 925 to 1382 of the family's 1533-position model. The record is from RNAcentral. Lineage: Bacteria; Pseudomonadati; Thermodesulfobacteriota; Desulfobulbia; Desulfobulbales; Desulfobulbaceae.